UAGUCCACGCCGUAAACGAUGGACACUAGCUGUUGGGAUUAAUCUCAGCGGCUAAGCGAAAGUGAUAAGUGUCCCACCUGGGGAGUACGAUCGCAAGAUUGAAACUCAAAGGAAUUGACGGGGGCCCGCACAAGCGGUGGAGCAUGUGGUUUAAUUCGAUGAUACGCGAGGAACCUUACCAGGGCUUAAAUGUAAUAUGACAGGACUAGAGAUAGUUUUUUCUUCGGACAUAUUACAAGGUGCUGCAUGGUUGUCGUCAGCUCGUGCCGUGAGGUGUCAGGUUAAGUCCUAUAACGAGCGCAACCCCUGCCGUUAGUUGCCAGCAUUUAAAGAUGGGGACUCUAGCGGGACUGCCGGUGCAAACCGAGAGGAAGGUGGGGAUGACGUCAAAUCAUCACGGCCCUUACGUCCUGGGCUACACACGUGCUACAAUGGUAGUGACAGAGAGCAGCUACUGCGCAAGCAGGUGCGAAUCUAUUAAACGCUAUCUCAGUUCGGA
RNAcentral lists this ribosomal RNA (499 nucleotides) under uncultured bacterium. RNAcentral describes it as "bacterial SSU rRNA". It matches the Rfam family "Bacterial small subunit ribosomal RNA", at positions 791 to 1297 of the family's 1533-position model. The record is from RNAcentral.